This 254-nucleotide ribosomal RNA is filed under the name uncultured bacterium. RNAcentral's name for it is "partial 16S ribosomal RNA". It matches the Rfam family "Bacterial small subunit ribosomal RNA", at positions 524 to 776 of the family's 1533-position model. The record is from RNAcentral.
UACGUAGGGGGCAAGCGUUGUCCGGAUUUAUUGGGCGUAAAGCGCUCGCAGGUGGUUCGUUGCGUCGUGCGUGAAAGACCCUGGCUCAACUGGGGGGGUGUCGUGCGAUACGGGCGAACUGGAGGCCAGUAGGGGGAUGCGGAAUUCCGGGUGUAGUGGUGGAAUGCGUAGAGAUCCGGAGGAACACCAGCGGCGAAGGCGGCAUCCUGGACUGGUCCUGACACUCAGGAGCGAAAGCGUGGAGAGCGAUCCGG